CUACGGGCGGCUGCAGUGGGGAAUAUUGCACAAUGGGGGAAACCCUGAUGCAGCAACGCCGCGUGGAGGAUGACGCAUUUCGGUGUGUAAACUCCUUUUAUAUCCCAAGAUAAUGACGGUAGGAUAUGAAUAAGCACCGGCUAACUCCGUGCCAGCAGCCGCGGUAAUACGGAGGGUGCAAGCGUUACUCGGAAUCACUGGGCGUAAAGGAUGCGUAGGCUGGAAAUCAAGUCAGGAGUGAAAUCCAACGGCUCAACCGUUGAACUGCUUCUGAAACUGGUUACCUAGAAUGUGGGAGAGGUAGAUGGAAUUAGUGGUGUAGGGGUAAAAUCCGUAGAGAUCACUAGGAAUACCGAUUGCGAAGGCGAUCUACUGGAACACUAUUGACGCUGAGGCAUGAAAGCGUGGGGAGCAAACAGGAUUAGAUACCCUUGUAGUC
This 439-nucleotide ribosomal RNA is filed under the name uncultured bacterium. RNAcentral describes it as "partial 16S ribosomal RNA". It matches the Rfam family "Bacterial small subunit ribosomal RNA", at positions 339 to 795 of the family's 1533-position model. The record is from RNAcentral.